This 2287-nucleotide ribosomal RNA is filed under the name human metagenome. Its description in RNAcentral is "bacterial LSU rRNA". It matches the Rfam family "Bacterial large subunit ribosomal RNA", at positions 3 to 2311 of the family's 2925-position model. The record is from RNAcentral.
UCAAGCUAAUAAGAGCACAGGGUGGAUGCCCAGGCACCAAACGCCGAUGAAAGACGUGGCAAGCUGCGAAAAGUCACGGGGAACCGCAAGCAGGUAUUGAUCCGUGAACGUCUGAAUGGGGAAACCCGGCGGGUUAACAGCCCGUCACUAUUAACUGAAUCAAUAGGUUAAUAGAGGGAACGCGGGGAACUGAAACAUCUCAGUACCCGUAGGAAGAGAAAAUAAAGAAUGAUUUCCUAAGUAGCGGCGAGCGAACGGGAAAGAGGCCAAACCGAAGGGCUUGCUCUUCGGGGUUGUGGAUCAGCAAAAAGGACGGAAGACCUUAGCAGAAGAGGAUUGGAAAGUCCCGCCAGAGAGGGUAAAAGCCCCUUACGCGAAAAGGUCAAACGACGAGCUGACACCAGAGUACCGCAGGACACGAGAAAUCCGGUGGGAAGCCGGGAGGACCACCUCCCAAGCCUAAAUACGAAUUGGUGACCGAUAGCGCAUAGUACCGUGAGGGAAAGGUGAAAAGAACCCCGGGAGGGGAGUGAAAAAGAACCUGAAACCCUGUGUUUACAAGCAGUGAAAGUGCGAGCAAGGCACGAUCACGUACUUUUUGUAGAACGGACCGGCGAGUUACGUUAUGCAGCAAGGUUAAGAACUGAAGGUUCGGAGCCGAAGCGAAAGCGAGUCUGAACAGGGCGAUAGUUGCAUGACGUAGACCCGAAACCGGGUGACCUAUCCAUGAGCAGGUUGAAGUGGAGGUAAAGCUCCAUGGAGGACCGAACCAGACGUCUGUUGAAAAAGGCGGGGAUGACUUGUGGAUAGGGGAGAAAUUCCAAUCGAACCCGGAGAUAGCUGGUUCUCCUCGAAAUAGCUUUAGGGCUAGCCUCAUGGAUCAUUGGUGGGGGUAGAGCACUGAAUGUGCGCGGGGGCCACAAAGCCUACCAAACGCUAUCAAACUUCGAAUACCAUACAAUGCAGACCAUGGGAGUCAGUCCGCGAGAGAUAAGUUCCGCGGGCAAAAGGGGAACACCCCAGAUCAACCGCUAAGGUCCCCAAGUUCACGUUAAGUGGAGAAGGAUGUGGAAUUGCACAGACAACCAGGAUGUUGGCUCAGAAGCAGCCACACAUUUAAAGAGUGCGUAAUAGCUCACUGGUCGAGUGAUUGUGCGCCGAAGAUGUCCGGGGCUAAACGUGACACCGAAGCGAUGGGCGCAUCUGAAGAAGAUGCGCGGUAGAGGAGCAAUGUGCAGAGGCAGAAGCCGUAUCGAGAGGCACGGUGGACACUGCACAAGAGAGAAUGCCGGUAUGAGUAGCGAGAGGCAUGCGAGAAACAUGCCCGUCGAAAGCCCAAGGUUUCCUGGGGAAGGUUCAUCCGCCCAGGGUAAGUCGGGGCCUAAGCCGAGGACGGAAGUCGUAGGCGAUGGACAGCAGGUGUAGAUUCCUGCACUACCGAUGGAAUGAAGCAGUGACACAGAAGGAUAACUCGAGCAGGGUGAUGGUCAACCCUGUGCAAGCAUUGAGGUUGGGUUGUAGUGAAGUACGCAACCCUAUAAGCUGAGGUGUGAUGCGGACCGAAAUUUCAGUAGGGAAGCGAGUGAGUUCACGCUGGCGAGAAAAGCUGCUAGUACAUCCAAAGGUACCCGUACCGGAAACCGACGCAGGUGGGCGAGGAGAGAAUCCUGAGACGAACGGGAGAACCCUUGUUAAGGAACUCGGCAAAAUGACCCCGUAACUUCGGGAUAAGGGGUGCCUGCGAGAGCAGGCCGCAGAGAAUAGUCACAAGCGACUGUUUAGCAAAAACACAGGUAUCUGCGAAAGCGAGAGCUGACGUAUAGGUGCUGACACCUGCCCGGUGCUGGAAGGUUAAGGGAACAUGUUAGAGCAAUCGAAGCAUCGAACCGAAGCCCCAGUAAACGGCGGCCGUAACUAUAACGGUCCUAAGGUAGCGAAAUUCCUUGUCGGGUAAGUUCCGACCCGCACGAAUGGUGUAACGACUUGUGAGCUGUCUCAACAGGGGGCCCGGUGAAAUUGAAGUAUGGGUGAAGAUGCCCAUUACCCGCGACUGGACGGAAAGACCCCGUAGAGCUUUACUGCAGCCUGAUAUUGAGUUUCGGUAACUGAUGCACAGGAUAGGUGGGAGUCUGAGAGACAUGGGUUUCGGCUCAUGAGGAGACGAUGUUGGGAUACCACUCUUCGGUUACUGAAAUUCUAACAUAGCUCUGUGAAACCAGAGGAUGGACAGUGUCAGGUGGACAGUUUGACUGGGGCGGUCGCCUCCGAAAGAGUAACGGAGGCGCCC